RNAcentral lists this long non-coding RNA (727 nucleotides) under Sorghum bicolor (sorghum). RNAcentral describes it as "long non-coding RNA (SBIC_LNC004484)". Lineage: Eukaryota; Viridiplantae; Streptophyta; Magnoliopsida; Poales; Poaceae. The record is from RNAcentral.
GACCCGACGGACGUGUGCCGUCCUUGUUUGGGUCUUGGUCAGUUCCUAUUUUUUUUUGUUUUUGGUUAUAUCAAUUUCAUUUUUAUUUAACAAAUAUUAUCCAAUCAUAUAACAUAAAGUAACUAAACUCAGGCCUUAUUUAGUUCGUGAAAAAUUUUAGUUUUAGCUACUGUAGCACUUUCGUUUGUAUGUGAUAAUUAUUAUCCAAUUACAGAGUAACUGGACUCAAAAAAUUUGUCCCACAAAUUACAGAUAAACUGUAUAAUUAAUUUUUAUUUAUAUUUAUAUUUAAUGUUUCAUGCAUGCAUAUAAAGAUUUGAUGUGACAGGAAAUCUUGAAAAAUUUUGGGAACUAAACAAAGCCUCAAAAGAUUCAUCUCGCGAUUUACCGUCAAACUGUGCAACUAACUUUUAUUUUUGUCUAUAUUUAAUAUUUCAUGCAUGUGCAAUAAGAUUCUAUGUGACGAGAAAUUUUGAAAAUGUUUAGAUAAUUUUUAAAAACUAAAUACUUCAAGAUUCUAUGUCGUAUAGAAUUUUAUGGCAUAUACUUACUUUAGGACUUGUUUAAUUGCAAAAGAAAUUACAAAAUAAAUACUAUAACAAUUUUAUUUAUAUUUAAUAAAUAUUAUUUAAUUAUUAACUAACUAGUCUUUAAAAGUUCAUUUUGUAAAUUAGAGUAUACCGCAAGAUUAUAUGCGACAGUCUAAAAAUUUUUAGGGCGUGUUUGG